Non-coding RNA from Anolis sagrei ordinatus, 620 nucleotides. NCBI's taxonomy places the organism in Eukaryota, Metazoa, Chordata, Lepidosauria, Squamata, Anolidae. The record is from RefSeq and is a predicted model, not a curated record.
GAAGGCUUACAGUGACCAUGUAACACCUAGUGUUAUUCCAACAUCCAUGUGUUUUGAGGCAGCCGUGUUGAGAGAUCGGCAGAGGAGAUGAGCGGAUGCAGGGAAACCCACAUGGCUCAUCCACCCCACAAUCCACCUUUGUGCAGAGAGGGGGUCGGCAAGUGUCCUUGAGCGUGGCUCGGCCUCGUUCUCCAUUGACGGCUAAUAGCCACUAAAGAUCUUGUUGCCAUGGGGCUGAGAUACAUCCAGAGGUUUGAGCUGAGAAAUUCUGCUCCAGGUUGAAGAAAUACCUGACAGUCACGUCUCUUUCUCCCUCCCUCUCCGGAAAGCUGCAUUGGGGCCAACUCCAUCCCGGACCAGAUGUUCUGCAUCCCGCACAUAGCUUUUGGCGAAAGCGAGUAAUCUCUAACCAGUGGGAUUAGUGCUCUGUCCGGUCUUUAAACGUCCACAGCAGGAUGCGAGCCCCCAAACUCCCCGACAGCGCUGUCCAGAUGCACAAGGAGGACUCAAAGAGGCUGGUAUCCAUUCCUGGGAUGUUUUAGAGAUGUCCGCCAUGGAGCCAUGAGCGUAGAGCAGUAGCCGGCCAUGGAUGGGAUCCAGCUUCGAGUAAGGCUUGACAA